This is a long non-coding RNA of Patiria miniata (bat star), 337 nucleotides long. RefSeq lists it as uncharacterized. NCBI's taxonomy places the organism in Eukaryota, Metazoa, Echinodermata, Asteroidea, Valvatida, Asterinidae. The record is from RefSeq and is a predicted model, not a curated record. The transcript has 4 exons.
UCAAGAAUGACUACACGUGUCUCUGGUUGGCAAGAUGCUACAUCAUGAAUUGUAAGGCCAGACUAGCCUGGGAGUUGUACCUUAAGGUGGAGACGUCUGGCGAAUCGUUCAGCCUGCUGUAGCUCAUUGCCAACGACGGCUACAAGCAGAUGGGCCAGUUUUACUAUGCAGCUAAGGCUUCCGAUGUAAAGAUUGGACACCAAUCCUGCAUACUGGGAAGGCAAGCGAGGGGCGUGCGUGGGCGUAUUCCAGCAGAUCAUAGCUGGCCAUGAACCAAGAGAAACACUGCGAGACAUCCUCCAAAUCUUGCGCAACACCGGUAACCCGCAGGUGGAAU